UUUGUGCUGCGAGGUGCGUCAGACCUUUCGAUCCCUGGGGCCAAUACAAACCUCUAGGGAGCUGUCCCUGCCGGGGCCGUGGUCUCGGUAUAUGGCGCCCACCUGCUUUGGCAGGCCACGGAGGAUCCAUAUCGGUCAACGGCCAUCGCGGCACGCCC
This 158-nucleotide non-coding RNA is filed under the name Rhodospirillales bacterium. Its description in RNAcentral is "6S RNA". It matches the Rfam family "6S / SsrS RNA". Rfam says of the family: E. coli 6S RNA was the first non coding RNA to be sequenced, but its function was unknown until recently. It consists of 184 nucleotides that fold into an extended hairpin structure with a large single-stranded internal bulge. The record is from RNAcentral. Lineage: Bacteria; Pseudomonadati; Pseudomonadota; Alphaproteobacteria; Rhodospirillales.